RNAcentral lists this ribosomal RNA (1530 nucleotides) under Salmonella enterica. RNAcentral's name for it is "bacterial SSU rRNA". It matches the Rfam family "Bacterial small subunit ribosomal RNA". The record is from RNAcentral. Lineage: Bacteria; Pseudomonadati; Pseudomonadota; Gammaproteobacteria; Enterobacterales; Enterobacteriaceae. RNAcentral also lists the same sequence under 1 other name.
AGAGUUUGAUCAUGGCUCAGAUUGAACGCUGGCGGCAGGCCUAACACAUGCAAGUCGAACGGUAACAGGAAGCAGCUUGCUGCUUCGCUGACGAGUGGCGGACGGGUGAGUAAUGUCUGGGAAACUGCCUGAUGGAGGGGGAUAACUACUGGAAACGGUGGCUAAUACCGCAUAACGUCGCAAGACCAAAGAGGGGGACCUUCGGGCCUCUUGCCAUCAGAUGUGCCCAGAUGGGAUUAGCUUGUUGGUGAGGUAACGGCUCACCAAGGCGACGAUCCCUAGCUGGUCUGAGAGGAUGACCAGCCACACUGGAACUGAGACACGGUCCAGACUCCUACGGGAGGCAGCAGUGGGGAAUAUUGCACAAUGGGCGCAAGCCUGAUGCAGCCAUGCCGCGUGUAUGAAGAAGGCCUUCGGGUUGUAAAGUACUUUCAGCGGGGAGGAAGGUGUUGCGGUUAAUAACCGCAGCAAUUGACGUUACCCGCAGAAGAAGCACCGGCUAACUCCGUGCCAGCAGCCGCGGUAAUACGGAGGGUGCAAGCGUUAAUCGGAAUUACUGGGCGUAAAGCGCACGCAGGCGGUCUGUCAAGUCGGAUGUGAAAUCCCCGGGCUCAACCUGGGAACUGCAUUCGAAACUGGCAGGCUUGAGUCUUGUAGAGGGGGGUAGAAUUCCAGGUGUAGCGGUGAAAUGCGUAGAGAUCUGGAGGAAUACCGGUGGCGAAGGCGGCCCCCUGGACAAAGACUGACGCUCAGGUGCGAAAGCGUGGGGAGCAAACAGGAUUAGAUACCCUGGUAGUCCACGCCGUAAACGAUGUCUACUUGGAGGUUGUGCCCUUGAGGCGUGGCUUCCGGAGCUAACGCGUUAAGUAGACCGCCUGGGGAGUACGGCCGCAAGGUUAAAACUCAAAUGAAUUGACGGGGGCCCGCACAAGCGGUGGAGCAUGUGGUUUAAUUCGAUGCAACGCGAAGAACCUUACCUGGUCUUGACAUCCACGGAAGGUCUCAGAGAUGAGACUGUGCCUUCGGGAACCGUGAGACAGGUGCUGCAUGGCUGUCGUCAGCUCGUGUUGUGAAAUGUUGGGUUAAGUCCCGCAACGAGCGCAACCCUUAUCCUUUGUUGCCAGCGGUUAGGCCGGGAACUCAAAGGAGACUGCCAGUGAUAAACUGGAGGAAGGUGGGGAUGACGUCAAGUCAUCAUGGCCCUUACGACCAGGGCUACACACGUGCUACAAUGGCGCAUACAAAGAGAAGCGACCUCGCGAGAGCAAGCGGACCUCAUAAAGUGCGUCGUAGUCCGGAUUGGAGUCUGCAACUCGACUCCAUGAAGUCGGAAUCGCUAGUAAUCGUGGAUCAGAAUGCCACGGUGAAUACGUUCCCGGGCCUUGUACACACCGCCCGUCACACCAUGGGAGUGGGUUGCAAAAGAAGUAGGUAGCUUAACCUUCGGGAGGGCGCUUACCACUUUGUGAUUCAUGACUGGGGUGAAGUCGUAACAAGGUAACCGUAGGGGAACCUGCGGUUGGAUCACCU